CAACCCGGAUGGAGACGUUCGGCUGAACAUUCAGGAGUCAGCAGAGGCCAUAGUAUUCCGCAGUCGCGGAAGAAGGGC
Mucilaginibacter paludis DSM 18603 is the source of this 78-nucleotide non-coding RNA. Lineage: Bacteria; Pseudomonadati; Bacteroidota; Sphingobacteriia; Sphingobacteriales; Sphingobacteriaceae. The record is from Rfam.